AUUGAACGCUGGCGGCAGGCCUAACACAUGCAAGUCGAACGAGUGGCGGACGGGUGAGUAAUGUCUGGGAAACUGCCUGAUGGAGGGGGAUAACUACUGGAAACGGUAGCUAAUACCGCAUACCAUCGGAUGUGCCCAGAUGGGAUUAGCUAGUAGGUGGGGUAAUGGGUAACCUAGGCUACGGUCCCGAGCUGGUCUGAGAGGAUGACCAGCCACACUGAAAGGGAGACACGGUCCAGACUCCUACGGGAGGCAGCAGGGGGGAAUAUUGCACAAUGGGCGCAAGCCUGAUGCAGCGAUGCCGCUUGUGUGAAGAAGGCCUUCGGGUUGUAAAGCACUGUCAGUGGGGAGGCGUUACCCGCAGAAGAAGCACCGGCUAACUCCGUGCCAGCAGCCGCGGUAAUUC
This 406-nucleotide ribosomal RNA is filed under the name uncultured bacterium. RNAcentral describes it as "partial 16S ribosomal RNA". It matches the Rfam family "Bacterial small subunit ribosomal RNA", at positions 30 to 526 of the family's 1533-position model. The record is from RNAcentral.